AGGGGUGUUGUGUUGGAGAAUAGAACUCACUUGCUCAGUUAGGAAGAUCUUUUUAGGCACAUGUGUCCUAGAUUUUCACUUUUGUGUACAAAGGUCUUUGAGAAAUUUGGCAUAGGAGGGAACUUGUCUGAUGGCAUCAAGGAGUGAGAGGUUGAUUUUAACUUGUUUGAAGACCUCUAUCAUCUCUUCUAAUGAAGUUCCCUUUUUGCCAAAUGGAGAGGGUGAAGUAAGAGCUUCAGGAAAUGGGGCCUUUGGGAUGUGAGUUUUGGCAGAAGAUGGACUAGCUGAAGAAGAAGA
This 297-nucleotide long non-coding RNA is filed under the name Phoenix dactylifera (date palm). Its description in RNAcentral is "long non-coding RNA (PDAC_LNC010213)". The record is from RNAcentral. Lineage: Eukaryota; Viridiplantae; Streptophyta; Magnoliopsida; Arecales; Arecaceae.